AUUGAACGCUGGCGGCAUGCUUUACACAUGCAAGUCGAACGGCAGCGCGGGCUUCGGCCUGGCGGCGAGUGGCGAACGGGUGAGUAAUGCCUCGGAACGUGCCCAGUAGUGGGGGAUAGCCCGGCGAAAGCCGGAUUAAUACCGCAUACGACCUGAGGGUGAAAGCGGGGGACCGAAAGGCCUCGCGCUAUUGGAGCGGCCGAUGUCGGAUUAGCUAGUUGGUGGGGUAAAGGCUUACCAAGGCGACGAUCCGUAGCUGGUCUGAGAGGACGACCAGCCACACUGGGACUGAGACACGGCCCAGACUCCUACGGGAGGCAGCAGUGGGGAAUUUUGGACAAUGGGGGCAACCCUGAUCCAGCCAUGCCGCGUGCGGGAAGAAGGCCUUCGGGUUGUAAACCGCUUUUGUUCGGGAAGAAAUCCUCUGGGCUAAUACCCCGGGGGGAUGACGGUACCGGAAGAAUAAGCACCGGCUAACUACGUG
RNAcentral lists this ribosomal RNA (484 nucleotides) under uncultured bacterium. RNAcentral's name for it is "partial 16S ribosomal RNA". It matches the Rfam family "Bacterial small subunit ribosomal RNA", at positions 28 to 507 of the family's 1533-position model. The record is from RNAcentral.